GACAGAGGUGGCAAGCGUUGUUCGGAUUUAUUGGGUGUAAAGGGCAGGUAGGUGGCUAUAUAAGUCCGAUGUGAAAUCCCACGGCUCAACCGUGGAACUGCGUUGGAUACUGUAUGGCUUGAGUACCGGAGAGGUAAGGGGAAUUCUCGGUGUAAGGGUGAAAUCUGUAGAUAUCGAGAGGAACACCAAUGGCGAAGGCACCUUACUGGUCGGUUACUGACACUGAGCUGCGAAAGCAAGGGGAGCAAACAGG
Molecule: ribosomal RNA, 253 nt
Filed under: uncultured bacterium
Lineage: Bacteria
Description: partial 16S ribosomal RNA
Rfam family: Bacterial small subunit ribosomal RNA
Source: RNAcentral